RNAcentral lists this ribosomal RNA (271 nucleotides) under uncultured bacterium. RNAcentral's name for it is "partial 16S ribosomal RNA". It matches the Rfam family "Bacterial small subunit ribosomal RNA", at positions 505 to 776 of the family's 1533-position model. The record is from RNAcentral.
GUGCCAGCAGCGCGGUAAUACAGAGGGUGCGAGCGUUAAUCGGAUUUACUGGGCGUAAAGCGUGCGUAGGCGGCUUUUUAAGUCGGAUGUGAAAUCCCUGAGCUUAACUGAAGAACUGCAUCUGAAACUUCAUAACUCGAGUACAGGAGAGGGAAACGGAAUUCCCGGUGUAGAGGUGAAAUUCGUAGAGAUCGGGAGGAAUACCAGUGGCGAAGGCGCCCUUCUGGACGGUUACUGACGCUGAGACGCGAAAGCGUGGGGAGCAAACAGG